GAUGAACGCUGGCGGCGUGCUUAACACAUGCAAGUCGAACGGAAAGGCCCAAGCUUGCUUGGGUACUCGAGUGGCGAACGGGUGAGUAACACGUGGGUGAUCUGCCCCGCACUUCGGGAUAAGCCUGGGAAACUGGGUCUAAUACCGGAUAGGACAGUGGUUUGGAUGCCAUUGUGGAAAGUUUUUUCGGUGUGGGAUGAGCUCGCGGCCUAUCAGCUUGUUGGUGGGGUAAUGGCCUACCAAGGCGUCGACGGGUAGCCGGCCUGAGAGGGUGUACGGCCACAUUGGGACUGGGAAACGGCCCAGACUCCUACGGGGGGCAGCAGUGGGGAAUAUUGCACAAUGGGCGCAAGCCUGAUGCAGCGACGCCGCGUGGGGGAUGACGGCCUUCGGGUUGUAAACUCCUUUCGCUAGGGACGAAGCGUUAUGUGACGGUACCUAGAGAAGAAGCACCGGCUAACUACGUG
RNAcentral lists this ribosomal RNA (467 nucleotides) under uncultured bacterium. RNAcentral's name for it is "partial 16S ribosomal RNA". It matches the Rfam family "Bacterial small subunit ribosomal RNA", at positions 28 to 507 of the family's 1533-position model. The record is from RNAcentral.